GUUGCAAUAGAGUUAAACUAAACAAAUUAAAUGCAAAGUGAAGCAAAAAGCAAAAUAAAGAGAGAAUUAACACACGAUAUUUCUUUACGCAAUUAAAAUUAACCAAUCCUACUUUACAGAGCCUCAUUCAGUGAAUGAUUUUAUUCAACAAUUGUUCGGAUUACCUAUUUUUUUAAGCCUAAUUUACCUUUACACAAAUAAGUAAUUUCAGCUCUAAC
RNAcentral lists this long non-coding RNA (218 nucleotides) under Gossypium barbadense (sea-island cotton). Its description in RNAcentral is "long non-coding RNA (GBAR_LNC014374)". The record is from RNAcentral. Lineage: Eukaryota; Viridiplantae; Streptophyta; Magnoliopsida; Malvales; Malvaceae.